Molecule: long non-coding RNA, 667 nt
Organism: Dermacentor andersoni
Lineage: Eukaryota; Metazoa; Arthropoda; Arachnida; Ixodida; Ixodidae
Source: RefSeq, a predicted model, not a curated record
GCCACAGUGUGGUAUACAUAUGCGGUAUAAUGUGAAAGUCACGCGCACUCUCGGCGACGAAACUUUGGCGAGACUGGAAGUGAGAUGAAAGGCGGCCCCGUGAUUGGUGCCCUUUCUUCCGACGCCGAGAAGACUUCCGCCGCACGUUCUCCUUUCUAUAGAGCCACCUGUUCAGGAAGAUAACGUGCGCGAGUGUCGUACACGGAUCCUCUUGGGUCAGUGCUGUAUAAUUGCGCGACGUUCGCCUGAACUGCGAGUGAUUUAUGGGCCGCGCUCUCUUCUGCCCCUUCUGCAUUUUUUCCUUCUUUUUUUUUCACUUAGGCAUGUGAACUAGGCUAAGGAAACAUGUGCGGAGCGCUUGCAGCGCAAACGUCCGCUCAGGUCACCGCAACUUGGGAUAGCCGAGACCCUCAGCGGGCCGCUAUAGGUAAUCAGCUAUGGCGGCAUUGACUCUAGCGGUAGCAAGUCUGCGAGGACCGUUGCAAGAGUGCCUGAUGCACAUAUAUUCAAGCGCAUGCUAAGCCGGGAAUAUGGCGCCUGGAGUCCGAACCAAGGUCACUCGAGUCUGCAGAAAGCCACUUGAAGCCCUGGUAAAGGCGGUCUGGCUUUUCCACCAGCUGCACGCGGAGUCUCGGCCGCAUUGAUCCUUCAGGGCACUCAUCACCGG